AGUGAACGCUGGCGGUAGGCCUAACACAUGCAAGUCGAACGGCAGCACAGUAAGAGCUUGCCUUUACGGGUGGCGAGUGGCGGACGGGUGAGGAAUACAUCGGAUUCUACUUUUUCGGGGGGGAUAACGUAGGGAAACUUACGCUAAUACCUCAUACGUCCUACGGGUGAAUGCAGAGGAUCUUCGGACCUUGCGCGAUUGAAUGAGCCGAUGUCGGAUUAGCUAGUUGGCGGGGUAAAGGCCCACCAAGGCGACGAUCCGUAGCUGGGCUGAGCGGAUGAUCAGCCACACUGGAACUGAGACACGGUCCAGACUCCUACGGGAGGCAGCAGUGGGGAAUAUUGGACAAUGGGCGCAAGCCUGAUCCAGCCAUACCGCGUGGGUGAAGAAGGCCUUCGGGUUGUAAAGCCCUUUUGUUGGGAAAGAAAAGCAGCAGGUGAAUACCCCGCUGUUCUGACGGUACCCAAAGAAUAAGCACCGGCUAACUUCGUG
RNAcentral lists this ribosomal RNA (492 nucleotides) under uncultured bacterium. RNAcentral's name for it is "partial 16S ribosomal RNA". It matches the Rfam family "Bacterial small subunit ribosomal RNA", at positions 29 to 507 of the family's 1533-position model. The record is from RNAcentral.